This 763-nucleotide ribosomal RNA is filed under the name Zoogloea sp. VPMK12. Its description in RNAcentral is "bacterial SSU rRNA". It matches the Rfam family "Bacterial small subunit ribosomal RNA", at positions 123 to 880 of the family's 1533-position model. The record is from RNAcentral. Lineage: Bacteria; Pseudomonadati; Pseudomonadota; Betaproteobacteria; Rhodocyclales; Zoogloeaceae.
AACGUACCCUGGAGUGGGGGAUAACGUAGCGAAAGUUACGCUAAUACCGCAUACGAUCUAAGGAUGAAAGUGGGGGAUUCGCAAGGACCUCAUGCUCCUGGAGCGGCCGAUAUCUGAUUAGCUAGUUGGUAGGGUAAAAGCCUACCAAGGCAUCGAUCAGUAGCUGGUCUGAGAGGACGACCAGCCACACUGGAACUGAGACACGGUCCAGACUCCUACGGGAGGCAGCAGUGGGGAAUUUUGGACAAUGGGCGCAAGCCUGAUCCAGCAAUGCCGCGUGAGUGAAGAAGGCCUUCGGGUUGUAAAGCUCUUUUGUCAGGGAAGAAACGGAUUUUUCUAAUACAGAGAUCUAAUGACGGUACCUGAAGAAUAAGCACCGGCUAACUACGUGCCAGCAGCCGCGGUAAUACGUAGGGUGCAAGCGUUAAUCGGAAUUACUGGGCGUAAAGCGUGCGCAGGCGGUUUUGUAAGACUGUCGUGAAAUCCCCGGGCUCAACCUGGGAAUGGCGAUGGUGACUGCAAGGCUAGAGUUUGGCAGAGGGGGGUAGAAUUCCACGUGUAGCAGUGAAAUGCGUAGAUAUGUGGAGGAACACCGAUGGCGAAGGCAGCCCCCUGGGUCAAAACUGACGCUCAUGCACGAAAGCGUGGGGAGCAAACAGGAUUAGAUACCCUGGUAGUCCACGCCCUAAACGAUGUCUACUAGUUGUCGGGUUUUAAUUAACUUGGUAACGCAGCUAACGCGUGAAGUAGACCGCCUGGGGAG